UACGUAGGGACCGAGCGUUGUCCGGAUUCAUUGGGCGUAAAGAGCUCGUAGGCGGCUGCUCAAGUCGAAUGUGAAAACUCGAGGCUCAACCUCGAGCCUGCAUUCGAUACUGGGCGGCUAGAGUCUGGUAGGGGGAUCUGGAAUUCCUGGUGUAGCGGUGGAAUGCGCAGAUAUCAGGAGGAACACCGGUGGAGAAGGCGGGAUCCUGGGCCAGUACUGACGCUGAGGAGCGAAAGCGUGGGGAGCAAACAGG
RNAcentral lists this ribosomal RNA (253 nucleotides) under uncultured bacterium. RNAcentral's name for it is "partial 16S ribosomal RNA". It matches the Rfam family "Bacterial small subunit ribosomal RNA", at positions 524 to 776 of the family's 1533-position model. The record is from RNAcentral.